UCAGGAUGAACGCUGGCGGCGUGCCUAAUACAUGCAAGUCGAGCGAACGGACGAGAAGCUUGCUUCUCUGAUGUUAGCGGCGNACGGGUGAGUAACACGUGGAUAACCUACCUAUAAGACUGGGAUAACUUCGGGAAACCGGAGCUAAUACCGGAUAAUAUUUUGAACCGCAUGGUUCAAAAGUGAAAGACGGUCUUGCUGUCACUUAUAGAUGGAUCCGCGCUGCAUUAGCUAGUUGGUAAGGUAACGGCUUACCAAGGCAACGAUGCAUAGCCGACCUGAGAGGGUGAUCGGCCACACUGGAACUGAGACACGGUCCAGACUCCUACGGGAGGCAGCAGUAGGGAAUCUUCCGCAAUGGGCGAAAGCCUGACGGAGCAACGCCGCGUGAGUGAUGAAGGUCUUCGGAUCGUAAAACUCUGUUAUUAGGGAAGAACAUAUGUGUAAGUAACUGUGCACAUCUUGACGGUACCUAAUCAGAAAGCCACGGCUAACUACGC
Molecule: ribosomal RNA, 500 nt
Filed under: Staphylococcus aureus
Lineage: Bacteria; Bacillati; Bacillota; Bacilli; Caryophanales; Staphylococcaceae
Description: bacterial SSU rRNA
Rfam family: Bacterial small subunit ribosomal RNA
Source: RNAcentral